This is a non-coding RNA of Acanthosepion pharaonis, 117 nucleotides long. The record is from the annotation of a GenBank genome assembly. Lineage: Eukaryota; Metazoa; Mollusca; Cephalopoda; Sepiida; Sepiidae.
UUACGGCCAAAUCAACUUGAAACACCACUUCUUGUACGAUCACCGAAGUUAAGCAACGUCGAGCCAGGUCAGUAGUACCUAGAUGGGUGAUCACUUUGAAAUACUAAGUGAUGUAAG